Molecule: ribosomal RNA, 493 nt
Filed under: uncultured Cellvibrio sp.
Lineage: Bacteria; Pseudomonadati; Pseudomonadota; Gammaproteobacteria; Cellvibrionales; Cellvibrionaceae
Description: bacterial SSU rRNA
Rfam family: Bacterial small subunit ribosomal RNA
Source: RNAcentral
AGGGUGCAAGCGUUAAUCGGAAUUACUGGGGGUAAAGCGCAGGUAGGUGGUUUGUUAAGUCAGCUGUGAAAUCCCCGGGCUCAACCUGGGAGUUGCAGUUAAAACUGGUGAGCUAGAGUAGGGUAGAGGGGKGUGRAAUUCCAGGUGAAGCGGUGAAAUGCGUAGAUAUCGGAAGGAACACCAGUGGCGAAGGCGACACCCUGGACUCAUACUGACAUUAAGGUGCGAAAGCGUGGGGAGCAAACAGGAUUAGAUACCCUGUUAGUCCACGCCGUAAAGGAUGUCAACUAGCCGUUGGGAUCCUUGAGGAUUUAGUGGCGCAGCUAACGCAAUAAGUUGACCGCCUGGGGAGUACGGUCGCAAGAUUAAAACUCAAAUGAAUUGACGGGGGCCCGCACAAGCGGUGGAGCAUGGGUUUAUUCGAUCGACGCGAAUAACCUAACCAGGCCUGACACCAAGGAACUUUCCAGAGAUGGAUUGGUGCCUUCGGGAA